This 643-nucleotide ribosomal RNA is filed under the name uncultured marine eukaryote. Its description in RNAcentral is "SSU rRNA". It matches the Rfam family "Eukaryotic small subunit ribosomal RNA", at positions 612 to 1256 of the family's 1831-position model. The record is from RNAcentral.
GUUGUGGUUAAAAAGCUCGUAGUUGGAUCUCAACAGCCUUGAAGCGGUUAACUUUGUAGUUUUACUGCUUUAUAGGCUGUGCUUUUGCUGGAGGUUUAGGGGUGCUCUUGAUCGAGUGUCUCUGGAUGCCAGCAGGUUUACUUUGAAAAAAUUAGAGUGCUCAAAGCAGGCUAAAAUGCCUGAAUAUUCGUGCAUGGAAUAAUAGAAUAGGAUGUCGAUCCUAUUUUGUUGGUUUUCGGGACUCGACAUAAUGAUAAAUAGGGACAGUCGGGGGCAUUUGUAUUCAAACGACAGAGGUGAAAUUCUUGGACCGUUUGAAGAUAAACUACUGCGAAAGCAUUUGCCAAGAAUGUUUUCAUUAAUCAAGAACGAAAGUUAGAGGUUCGAAGGCGAUUAGAUACCGCCCUAGUUCUAACCAUAAACGAUGCCAGCUAGCGAUCUGCCUGCGUUUUUACUGUAGACUGGGCAGGAAGCUUCCGGGAAACCAAAGCAUUUGGGUUCCAGGGGAAGUAUGGUUGCAAAGCUGAAACUUAAAGGAAUUGACGGAAGGGCACCACCAGGAGUGGAGCCUGUGGCUUAAUUUGACUCAACACGGGAAAUCUCACCAGGCCCGGACACUGGAAGGAUUGACAGAUUGAUAGCU